Molecule: ribosomal RNA, 440 nt
Filed under: uncultured bacterium
Lineage: Bacteria
Description: partial 16S ribosomal RNA
Rfam family: Bacterial small subunit ribosomal RNA
Source: RNAcentral
CCUACGGGUGGCUGCAGUGGGGAAUAUUGCACAAUGGGGGGAACCCUGAUGCAGCGACGCCGCGUGGGCGAGGAAGUACUUCGGUAUGUAAAGCCCUAUCAGCAGGGAAGAAAAUGACGGUACCUGACUAAGAAGCGCCGGCUAACUACGUGCCAGCAGCCGCGGUAAUACGUAGGGGGCAAGCGUUAUCCGGAUUUACUGGGUGUAAAGGGAGCGUAGGAGGGGUGCUAAGGCUGAUGGGGAAGGCCGGGGCUAAACCCCGGGACUGCAUUGGAAACUGGCAUGCUGGAGUGCCGGAGGGGCAAGCGGAAUUCCAAGUGUAGCGGUGAAAUGCGUAGAUAUUAGGAGGAACACUGGUGGCGAAGGCGGCUUGCUGGACGUUAACUGACGUUGAGGCUCGAAAGCGUGGGGAGCAAACAGGAUUAGAUACCCCUGUAGUC